AGAACGAACGCUGGCGGCAGGCCUCAAACAUGCAAGUCUAGGGGGUGUAGCAAUACAUCACCGGCGGACGGGUGCGUAACGCGUGGGAAUAUACCUAUUGGUUCGGAACAACUGAGGGAAACUUCAGCUAAAUACCGAAUGUGCCCUAACGGGGAAAGAUUUAUCGCCAAUGGAUUAGCCCGCGUUCGAUUAGCUAGUUGGUGGGGUAACGGCCCACCAAGGCGACGAUCGAUAGCUGUUCUGAGAGGAAGAUCAGCCACACUGGGACUGAGACACGGCCCAGACUCCUACGGGAGGCAGCAGUUGGGAAUCUUGGACAAUGGGGAAACCCUGAUCCAGCCAUGCCGCGUGAGUGAUGAAGGCCUUCGGGUUGUAAAACUCUUUCGCGCACGACGAUAAUGACGGUAGUGCGAGAAGAAGCUCCGGCUAACUUCGUGCCAGCAGCCGC
RNAcentral lists this ribosomal RNA (448 nucleotides) under uncultured bacterium. Its description in RNAcentral is "SSU rRNA". It matches the Rfam family "Bacterial small subunit ribosomal RNA", at positions 26 to 518 of the family's 1533-position model. The record is from RNAcentral.